This is an unclassified non-coding RNA of Homo sapiens (human), 104 nucleotides long. It matches the Rfam family "Y RNA". From Rfam's summary of the family: Y RNAs are components of the Ro ribonucleoprotein particle (Ro RNP), in association with Ro60 and La proteins. The Y RNAs and Ro60 and La proteins are well conserved, but the function of the Ro RNP is not known. The record is from Ensembl. NCBI's taxonomy places the organism in Eukaryota, Metazoa, Chordata, Mammalia, Primates, Hominidae.
GCCUGGUCCAAAGGUAAUGAGUUAUCUAAAGCGGUUAUUCAGUUACUGACUGAACUCCUUGUUCUACUCUUCCCCUUCUGAUUACAAUGCUUGUCUAGUCUUUG